RNAcentral lists this ribosomal RNA (322 nucleotides) under uncultured eukaryote. Its description in RNAcentral is "partial 18S ribosomal RNA". It matches the Rfam family "Eukaryotic small subunit ribosomal RNA", at positions 1470 to 1796 of the family's 1831-position model. The record is from RNAcentral.
CCCUUAGAUGUUCUGGGCCGCGCGCGUGCUACACUGAGUGGAUCAGCGGGUCAGGUUACGCGAGAGCGUUUCCUAAUCUUCAAAUCCGCUCGUGAUGGGGAUUGACGGUUGCAAUUUUCCGUCAUGAACGAGGAAUACCUUGUAAGCGCGGGUCAUCAUCCCGCGCUGAAUACGUCCCUGCCCUUUGUACACACCGCCCGUCGCUCCUACCGAUUGAGUGGUCCGGUGAGGCUUUGGGAUCUAAGCGAAAAGAGCGUUUCGCUCCUUUUGCUGGGAGAACUCAGUCGAACCUUAUCAUUUAGAGGAAGGAGAAGUCGUAACA